Molecule: ribosomal RNA, 903 nt
Filed under: Halomonas sp. HUC4
Lineage: Bacteria; Pseudomonadati; Pseudomonadota; Gammaproteobacteria; Oceanospirillales; Halomonadaceae
Description: bacterial SSU rRNA
Rfam family: Bacterial small subunit ribosomal RNA
Source: RNAcentral
AAUACUGGGCGUAAGCGCGCGUAGGCGGCUUAAUAAGCCGGUUGUGAAAGCCCCGGGCUCAACCUGGGAACGGCAUCCGGAACUGUUAAGCUAGAGUGCAGGAGAGGAAGGUAGAAUUCCCGGUGUAGCGGUGAAAUGCGUAGAGAUCGGGAGGAAUACCAGUGGCGAAGGCGGCCUUCUGGACUGACACUGACGCUGAGGUGCGAAAGCGUGGGUAGCAAACAGGAUUAGAUACCCUGGUAGUCCACGCCGUAAACGAUGUCGACCAGCCGUUGGGUGCCUUGAGCACUUUGUGGCGAAGUUAACGCGAUAAGUCGACCGCCUGGGGAGUACGGCCGCAAGGUUAAAACUCAAAUGAAUUGACGGGGGCCCGCACAAGCGGUGGAGCAUGUGGUUUAAUUCGAUGCAACGCGAAGAACCUUACCUACCCUUGACAUCCUGCGAACCCGGAAGAGAUUCCGGGGUGCCUUCGGGAACGCAGAGACAGGUGCUGCAUGGCUGUCGUCAGCUCGUGUUGUGAAAUGUUGGGUUAAGUCCCGUAACGAGCGCAACCCUUGUCCCUAUUUGCCAGCGAUUCGGUCGGGAACUCUAGGGAGACUGCCGGUGACAAACCGGAGGAAGGUGGGGACGACGUCAAGUCAUCAUGGCCCUUACGGGUAGGGCUACACACGUGCUACAAUGGCCGGUACAAAGGGCGGCGAACUCGCGAGAGUCAGCGAAUCCCUUAAAGCCCGGUCUCAGUCCGGAUCGGAGUCUGCAACUCGACUCCGUGAAGUCGGAAUCGCUAGUAAUCGUGGAUCAGAAUGCCACGGUGAAUACGUUCCCGGGCCUUGUACACACCGCCCGUCACACCAUGGGAGUGGACUGCACCAGAAGUGGUUAGCCUAACGCAAGAGGGCGUCA